Molecule: transfer RNA, 70 nt
Filed under: Koreocobitis rotundicaudata (white nose loach)
Lineage: Eukaryota; Metazoa; Chordata; Actinopteri; Cypriniformes; Cobitidae
Description: tRNA-Arg
Rfam family: tRNA
About the family: Transfer RNA (tRNA) molecules are approximately 80 nucleotides in length. Their secondary structure includes four short double-helical elements and three loops (D, anti-codon, and T loops).
Source: RNAcentral
AGGGUGUUAGUCCAAAACAAGACCUCUGAUUUCGGCUCAGAAAACCGUGGUUCGACUCCACGACUCCCUU